AUGGACGCCGGCGAGCUGGAGGUCUUCGACGCCGGCCGUUACACCGAGGGAUAUCAGCUCGGUCUCGCCGUGGGCCAGCGGUUCAGCGAGACGAUCAGGAGCAGGAUGCAAGUGGACCUCUUCCUGCAGGAGCAGCUGCUGCCGUUCGCGUCCACGGCGGCGGGCAAGCCGCUCCUCACCGCGCUCCAGGCCGCCAACAGGGAGAGGUACCCCCGGUACUGGGACGAGCUGGUGGGCAUGGCGGACGGCAGUGGCGUCCCACUCCUCCACGUGAUUCUGGUCAACUUGAGGAAGGAGAUUCGUCCGUUCAUCCCAAAGAAGGACCACGAACGGAGAGAAGAGCCCGACGACGACUGCUCCGACAUCCUGAUGGUGAGCGAGUCGACGGCGUUCGCGGCGCACAACGAAGACGCGACCGCCGCGCUGCUCGGCCACACCUACGUGGUGAAGGCGACGUCGCCGGACGGCGUAUCCUCCUUCACCGCCUACACCUACGCCGGCGAGCUCCCCACCUGCGCCUUCGGGUUCAACAGCAACGGAGUGGCCUUCACGCUCGACUCGGUUCCGCCGGCGAUCGGCGAGGUCGCCGCGGGGGCCAUCGCCGUGAACUUCGUGUCGCGGGACCUGCUGGAGGCGAGAGACCUGGACGACGCGAUGCGCAGGGUGUGCUCGCCGGGCGUCUCGGUCGGGCACUGCUACAACCUGAUGGACGUCAGAGCCCGACGGAUCGUCACCGUCGAGACCGCCUCCCGGAGCCGGUUCGCCGUCCAGGAGGCCGGCGCCACGCCCUCCUUCCACGCGAACAUGUACCGUCAUCUCCAAGUGGAGCAGGUGCAGGACGAGAACUCCAUGAGCAGGGAGAGGAGAGCGGCGCAGUGCGCGAUGGACUCCAAGGAGAAGGCGCUCGCGGUGCUCGGAGACGCGGCCGACGACAAGUACCCCAUCUUUAUGACAGGUCCAACGCUGUAUACUCUAUGCACCGUCUUGGUUGAUCUCGACGAGGAGACGAUGACCAUUUACAGGGGGAAUCCCAAGAACAGAGAUGCCGUUCGAGUAGCUCUUCCUAUGCUGUCAACUUCUAAUAACUAG
Molecule: ribosomal RNA, 1089 nt
Filed under: Triticum aestivum (bread wheat)
Lineage: Eukaryota; Viridiplantae; Streptophyta; Magnoliopsida; Poales; Poaceae
Description: partial small subunit ribosomal RNA
Source: RNAcentral